UUCCGGUUGAUCCCGCCGGAGGCUACCGCUAUUGGAGUUCGAUUAAGCCAUGCGAGUCGCGAGUCUUAGGGACUCGGCGUACCGCUCAGUAACACGUGGGUAACCUGCCCUAUGCUGGGGGAUAACCUCGGGAAACUGAGAAUAAUACCCCAUAGUUCACCACGCCUGGAACGGUGGGUGGACCAAAGCUCCGGCGGCAUAGGAUGGGCCUGCGGCGUAUCAGGUUGUAGGGGGUGUAAUGUACCCUCUAGCCCUCUACGCGUACGGGUGUUGAGAGACAUCGCCCGGAGAUGGAUUCUGAGACACGAAUCCAGACCCUACGGGGUGCAGCAGGCGCGAAAACUUGGCAAUGCGAGAAAUCGUGACCAGGGAACUCCAAGUGCAUCGGGUAAGACCGAUGCUUUUCUUGACUCUUCAAAGGUCUUGGAAUAAGGGGUGGGUAAGGACGGUGCCAGCCGCCGCGGUAAUACCGGCGCCCCAAGUGGUAGUCGCUUUUAUUGGGCCUAAAACGUCCGUAGCCGGUCUGGUACAUUCGUGGGUAAAUCAACCAGCUCAACUGGUUGAAUUCUGCGAGCACGGCCAGACUUGGGACCGGGAGAGGUGUGGGGUACUCUCAGGGUAGGGGUAAAAUCCUGUCAUCCUGAGAGGACCACCUGUUGCGAAGGCGCCACACUAGAACGGAUCCGACGGUCAGGGACGAAGCCUAGGGGCACGAACCGGAUUAGAUACCCGGGUAGUCCUAGGUGUAAACGCUGUGGACUUGAUGUUGGGGGCGCUCCGAGCGCACUCAGUGUCGAAGCGAAGGUGAUAAGUCCACUGCCUGGGGAGUACGGUCGCAAGGCUGAAACUUAAAGGAAUUGGCGGGGGAGCACCGCAACCUGAGGAUUGUGCGGUUUAAUUGGAAUCAACGCCGGA
Molecule: ribosomal RNA, 915 nt
Filed under: uncultured archaeon
Lineage: Archaea
Description: bacterial SSU rRNA
Rfam family: Archaeal small subunit ribosomal RNA
Source: RNAcentral